CACAUUCCUGGAAUUUCUGCAGAAUUUAUGGCACCUGCCCCAAUACCCACUAAUUCUUUUACAUCUGCGUUGUUCUGUGAAAUCCUGUAAAUACUUUACUAAGUUACACGCACCAUAUAAACUUCAGCUUCCGUUACGGAACAAAAGUUCAAGUCACCUACUCUGUGAGGAAGCAAUUGUUGAAAAUAAUGGAAGCUUGGAGAUUGUUUCUGUGCUCUGCUGUAUCCAAGAGGAUUCUGGGAGGCAGAGGCAGUGUGAGCAGUGUGGCGAGAAGGCUGUGGGGCACGAGCUGAUGCUCAACUCCAUUUCGCCAAUUAAAGCGACAAGGGAGAUGGAAACAUCAAGAUGAAUGCGGAAGGGAAGAGGGUUUAGGGAGCUGAUGGUCGUGCUGUGGUUCUUUCGUGUUUUCGUGGCUAUCUGGAGAAGAAGAAUUUCAGAGUUGUGUACUUUGAUAAUAAAUGUAACUUGGAGUUUGCAUGCUCUCCCCGUUACUGCAUGUGCCUACCUCCAAUGCCAAACAUGUGAAGGCUGGUAGGCUAAUUCAAAGUUCAAAGUAAAUUUUAUUAUCAACGUACAUAUACAUAUACAUCACUGCAUACAACCUGGAGACUUAUUUUCUUGUGGGCAUGUUUAACAAAUCUAAAGAAUAAUAACUACAACAGACUCAAUGAAGAUCACCAACUAGGGCAUUCAACCGGAGUGCAGAAUUCUAAAAACUAUGCAAAUACAAGAAAAGAAAUAAUAAUAAUAAAUAAAUGAGUGAUAAAUAUCGAGAACGUGAAAUGAAGAGUCCUUGAAAGUGAGUCCGUCGGUUUUGGGAAUAUUUUGAUGAUAGGGCAAGUGAAGUUGAGUGAAAUUAUCUCCUCUGGUUCAACAGCCUGAUGGUUGAGGGGUCAUAAUUGUUUCUGAACCUGGUAGUUCAGUCCUGAGACUCCUGUACCUUCUUCCUGAUGGCAGCAGUGAGAAGAGAGCAAGUCCUGGGUGGUGGGGGUUCCUGAUGAUGGAUGCUGCUUUCCUGUGACAACAUUUCAUGUAGGUGUGCUCAAUAGUGAGAAGGGCUUUACCUGUAAUGGUGGCAUCCACUACUUUUGUAGGAUUUUCCGUUCAAUGGCAUUGGUGUUUCCAUACCAGACUGCGAUGCAGCCAGUCAAUGUACCCUCCAUCACUCAUCUAUAGGUUGCAAGUUUCUAGGUUACUAUAAAUUGACCCAGUGCAAGAAAGUGGUAGUAGAAUCAGGAUGAAGAGGAUAAUUGAUGGCCAUGUGUGAAAUAAGUGAGGGAAAUGUUGAGUUUAUUCUUAGAGCAAACAUAGGCUUGAUGAGCCAAGUAGCCUCCUUGAAUGUCAUAACAAACAUGAGACACCUCUUAAAAAUACUUGAAUAUGGACUCAGUGGCCACUUUAUUAUUAUUUGUGCUGAUUAACGCAAGCAUCUAAUCAACCAAUCACAUGGCAGCAAGUCAAUACAUAAAAACAUACAGACAUGGUGAAGAGUUUCAGUUGUUGUUCAGACCAAAUAUCGGAAUGAGGAAGAAUUAUGAUCUAAGUGACUUUGACUAUGAAAUAAUUGUUGGUGCCAGGCAGGGUGGUUUGAGUAUCUAAGAAACUGCUGAUCUCCUGGGAUUUUCACGCACAACAAGUAUUUAUAGAGGAUGGUGCGUAACACAUAAAACAUGCAGUAAACGGCAGUUCUGUAGGCAAAAAUGCCCUUUUCACAAGAGAAGUCAUAGAAGAACAGAUAGACUGGUUCAAGCUGGCAGGAAGGCAAUAGUAACUCAAAUAACCUCUAAAUCAUGAAGUUUGAUAUACCAGGACAGGAAAGUUAAACAGUAAAUAAUUUAGAGUUAGGUAGGUGGUUAAGCAAAUAUUUUUGUUAUACACCAAGGUGAAAGACAUAAGUUACAAGGGAAGGUAAUUUGAUUAAAGAAUGAAAAUAGUUUUGAAAGAUUUAAAGGGGUUUAGAUAGCUGAGUUUGUUUUUUUGUUUUGGACAAAAUUAUGUGGUUACUUACCUUGUUAAAUCUUUCAGUUUUGUUUUCUUGGAACUAACUUAAAGGAAAUAUCCAGAUGACCAUAUACAGGCGAUCAUCUUUGCUCUCAUAAAAGAGUAGUUUGAGGUUUUUAUGAUGUGUGAUGACAUUAAAUUUUGCGUGGAAAUCCUCUUGACAAGCUGCCAGAUGGUUAAACACGAACUCAGCUGUAACACACACAGUACGCCGGAGGAACUCAGCAGGUCAGGCAGCAUCGAUCAAACAAUCGACGCUUUGGGCCAAGACCCUUCCUCAGGACUGAGAAGGAAGGCGGGGAGAUACCAGAAUAAAAAGGUGGCAGGAAAGAGACCAGCUGGAAGGUGACAGGUGAAGCCACAGAGUGGGGGGGGGGGGGGGGGAUAGGUCAAUGGCUGGAAAAGAAAGAAUCUGAUAGGAGAGGAGAGUGGACAAUAGGACAAAGGAAAUGAGGAGGGGACCCGGGGGUGGGGGGCAGAUGGGGGAGGGGGAAGUAAUAGGCAGGUGGGAAAAAGUGAAAGGUCAAGAGUGGGGAAUAGAGGAAGGUGGGGGUGAAAUUUGUUCACCGGAAGGAGAAAUCAAUAUUCAUGCCAUCAGGUUGGAAGUCACCCAGACAGAAAACAAGGUGUGGCUCCUCCACUGAGGGUGGCCUCAUCUCGGCCCAAGAGGAGACCAUGAAUCAAAUCAUAAGAUUGGGAAUUGGAAUCAAAAUUAAAAUGUUUGGCCACCGAGAAGUCCCGCUUGUGGCGGAGGGUGCAGAAGCGAUUUCCCAAUUUCCGUCAGGUAACUCAACAGUAACUCAUUUUAACUGGCUGCAGUAUAACAACAAAUAAUAUUUGUCAUAAUAAUAUGGCAUUCAUUAUCUGUAAUUAUCUACGAGGAAAAUUAUUUUAUAACAAACCUGGCAGCCACAUUGUUGAAUUGCAUAGCUUUUCAGUGUGACAGCUUUGCUGUAACUACACAAGAUACAGGAAUCGGGAGCAAUGAUUUAUGUUAAGAGCUUCACUUUAAACUGAGCAGUCUUUUGUGUGAAACUGAGGUGUGGGGUGACUGAUACGGGGAAGAUGUUUGUGUAAAAAUAGUAGUUAAAGGGCAGGCCUUCUGGGGAACCACAAUGACCUUCAACAAAAUGCAAAUAACUCUGAAAGGACAAGUGACCAGAUGUUGAUCAUGAGAAUAUGGUUUUGUUCUGCUUCAGUUUCUAAAGACCAGUACAAUGAGAUUAAUAUGAUGCUGUACACCAUAUCUGUGCAAGCAAAUAUGAAAACCAAAGUACUGACUUGACUGACGAGCAAUGGUUCACCUUCCAGGACCGUGUUUUUUCCAAAGCUGUCAGACACGAUGUUUAAAAAUAACUGUUCCUUAGACACUACCUGGAGAGUAAAGAGAAGACUUUUCACCUUCUUUAUUAUUUCACACAUUGAGUGUUGCUAAUGAAACUUGUGUUUUGGAGGUGUUACAAAAGAAAACAUUCUCAAUUGUUUUUUGUGAAGGGAGUGUCUCUUUAAGACGGAACCACUCUGUGUCAUUUCCAAGUUCAGUUUCCAUAAACUAUGGACUCACUCUCAAGGACUCUGCAGCCCAUAUUCAGAAGAUCAUUUAUUUAUUUAUUAUUUGGGGGUUUAUUCUUUGUUUCUGUGUAGUUUUUCACUGAUUCUAUUGUGUUUCUCUGCACCUACUGUGAAUGCUCCUCCUCCUUUUGCUACCAGUCUUGAGACCCCACCCCCCAUGGCAGAGUUGACAUAUACAUACUUCGAGAAUAAAUUUACUUUGAAGUACUGUUUUGCUUCUUGCUUUGGCCAAAGUAAAGCAAAUAAAGGUGAAGUUGAAAAAAGAAAUGGAUACUUGUGGGAUCUAAGUUUGUGGUGCAGUAUUUCCCUUUAGAAAUGGUUUCAAACAGUACAAUGCAUUGCCCAAUCACUGGAGUUGUUUACUAGCUUCACAGGGUUAAGGUCUCCUGAUUAUAGUGUACACAUACAACUCAAACCCAUCCCGUCAGAAUCAGAAUCCAGUUUAUGUGAAACCUGUUGCUCUGUGGCAGCAGUACGGUGAAAAGGUAUAAAAUUAAGUAAAUAAUGUAAAGAAGGGAAUAAUGAGGUCAUGUCCAGGGUUCGUUGACCAGAAAUAUGAUGGUGGAGGGAAAGAAAUUGUAUCUGGAUUAUUGAGUGUGAGUCUUCAUGCUCCAGUACUUCUCCCCCAUGGUGGUAACAAGAAGAGGGCAUGUCCCAGAUCAUGAGGGUCCUUUGUGGAAGACAAAACCCACAAUGCGAAUUCUCUCAUCUAGAAGAACAAUACCAACAAUGGCAUGAAACAGCAGGUGGUUUACCCUACUGACCUGGGAAUAUAUUGCUAUUUCUACAUCAUUUCUGGGUCUAAACCUCAUCUGUUUCCACCAAACAGAUAAUCAUCACAAAGAGGACUGCAAAACGCCCCACUCACCACCACUUUCAGUUAUCGAUAUUAAGUACUGACUACCAAUAACCAUUUCCUUCAACUUGAAUGAAAAUGUUUCCCCUAUCCCUGUUCUUUAUCUCCACACAAACCUUUCCCCUUCAGAGCAACACACACAAAAUGCUGGAGGAACUCAGCAGGUCAAGCAGCAUCUAAGGAGAGGAAUAUUCGACAAAUAAAGAGUCGACAUUUCAGGCCAACCCUUCAACAGGACUGGAAAGGAAAGGAGAAGAGGUCAGAAUAAGAAGCUGGGGGGGCGGGGGGGAGAGAAGUACAGGCUAGCAGGUGAUUGGUGAAACCAGGUGAGGGGGAAGUUAGAUGAGAAGCUAGGAGGUGGUAGAUGGUGAAAAAGGUAAAAGGCUGAAGUAGAGGAACCUGGCAGGAGAAGAUAGUGGACAUGGGAAAGAGAGAGGUGCUGAGCAGGCUGCAAACUGAUUCAGAAGCAUCGUGGGAUAUCUCUGAUGAUUAAUCAACCAUGAUGGUGACAAAAAGAAUUAAGGUCACAGAAGAACUUUGCAACGUAUUACGUUUGAAGCAAGUACACUGACGCGCUGCCUGACCUGCUGAGUUCCUCAGUACUUUUUGUGUAUCGCUCAAGAUUUCCAACAUCUUCAUGGAUCAUGUUCAGGUAUUCAAGAGUUGGAGGGAUGAUACAAGGUCAACUCGAAGCAAGCUAUCCCCAUUGGUAGGUGGUUUGAGGAUCAACAAACACAAAAUGAAAUUUUUGGGCAAAAGAUACAAGGAUCCUGAAAGGUUUGAAUUAAAAAGCAAUAGGACAUGGAUGCAAGUCUACACGGGCCAAAGUGAUCUGCAGCUCACUGACAGCAGAUGGAGGUGGAAUUAACAUCUCCAAAAGAUAAUGGGCGGUUACACAGAAAUAAUGAAACUAAGAACAAGCAAUGGGCCUGGUGCUGUCAUAAUUUUACCAUAUUAUAUUCUAAAAUGUACUCCUAACGGCAGACUAUAUGAAGUGUCGUCAAACCUCACAAUAUUUUGAUAUCCUUCGGCAGGACGCUGUUUCCUUCAAGCAUUCUCACAGAAACCGUCGAUCUAGAGAAGAUCAUCAGUCAAGUCAACAUGACAUUGAGAGCUAAAAAACAAAGGCAACUGACAUGGAUUCGUUUUAAAAUACAUUUUAAUCUUCAGUUAACCUACAUCGCUCAGAAUGGAAUGGGAUGGGUAGGUGAAAAUAUAAUUUGCCCAGUGACUACAAACUUUAAUUAACAUCAGCACUUAUUUCGGAAAAUUAUUGUACGGGGCUUGAUCUUCGCUCUUGGUACAGGCGUGACUUGCAUCGCUUUAACCACCAGGCUCCUCCCAAAAAUAAUUCAACCGCGGAAACCAGCGAAAUAAAGGCAAUGCUUCCUGAUGCCAAUCCCGACCAUAAAGUUCCACCGAUGUGUACACCAAUAUCCUUCGCCCAUCACCCUAAUCCCCAACGCGAGCCGGAGGUUUCCUUUCAACCAGAAUCACGAAGCCGUCACCUGGCGUGACCUCCCGCUUAAAAUCGGGAGAGCGCGCAAGCAGAGCAGCACAUAACCAGGGCAGCUACUGCGCCGAUUUAAAAUAAAGCUGCUGUCCAGCCUGCUGAGUUUUUCAAGAAUUUUCUGCUUUUAAAAUUGCUAAUUUCCAGAUUUCCAGAAUCUGCAACUUUUAUUAAAGAAGUUAUCCAUUGACAAAAGCCCAAAAAAGUCCCUGAGAGAUGACAGAUGGAUCACAUGACUCAGCAAUGGAGGCUUUGUUCAUUAUGGGCCAUUAUAUUGUGACAGGCAGUGCAGAGCAUGUGGAGAAAUACAACGGACAUGGAGAGCUGCUAGAAGACACGGGGCUGAUUUAUCCAAUUCUGAAUACGUCACAGGUAUAUGUCAUACACUUCGAUACGUCAUCCUAUCAUCCCCUUGAUGAAAAGCAGUGAUUCAUAUUUACAUGUUACUUACACAUUUAACCUAUUUGUUGGUUUUCUGAGUCACUUUCAAAGAAAACUGGGUCAACUUUUUUUUUCCACUUUUUAGCAAAGAUUUCACUUCCUGACUCAAUUAGAAUCUUGCAUCUAUUCUAUCACAGCUUCUACUGGCUCAGCUUCUGCACCACACUCAUUGUCACACCCUCUCAUGCAUCUCCUGCUGUGACUAAGUGACAUGGGUACACUUCCAAAUUUGAUUUGUAUUUCCACCAGAUACCACUUUGCUUCACAAAGUUCAGCAACGCCUCCGACAGUGAAUACUGGUAACAUCUAACAGGCCAGGCAACAUCACCGAACAGAGAACCAGAGCAAACAUUGAAAAAGUAACUCUAUUUCUAUGCCUGACCAGCUGAGUAUUACCAUGUUUCUCUACCCCCUCCCCAUUUCCAGCAUCUUUUGCUUCCCAUCACUCUAAUAUUCAAUUUUCAAACUUUAGAUUUGCAAGAUGAUACACGUGUUCUCAAAGUCAAAGUACAGUUAUUGCAAAAUUAUGUAUGUGUUACCAUAUACUACCAAGAGAUUCAUUUUCUUGCAAGAAUUUACAAAUAAAGAAAUAUGAUAGAAUUAAUGAAAAAAUACAUAUGUAAGUAACG
Long non-coding RNA from Hypanus sabinus (Atlantic stingray), 7009 nucleotides. RefSeq lists it as uncharacterized. The transcript has 9 exons. NCBI's taxonomy places the organism in Eukaryota, Metazoa, Chordata, Chondrichthyes, Myliobatiformes, Dasyatidae. The record is from RefSeq and is a predicted model, not a curated record.